AGUGGCGGACGGGUGAGUAACGCGUGAGUACCUGCCUUUCGAGGGGGAUACGUUCCUGAAAACAACGCUAAUACCGCAUAAUAUAUUGGUGUCACAUGGCACCGGUAUCAAAGGAGCAAUCUGCUGAAAGAUGGACUCGCGUCCGAUUAGCCAGUGGAUAGGUAAAGGCCCACCAAAGCGACGAUCGGUAGCCGGGUUGAGAGACUGAACGGCCACAUUGGGACUGAGACACGGCCCAGACUCCUACGGGAGGCAGCAGUGGGGGAUAUUGCACAAUGGAGGAAACUCUGAUGCAGCAACGCCGCGUGAGGGAAGACGGUCUUCGGAUUGUAAACCUCUGUCCUUAGUGAAGAUAAUGACGGUAGCCAAGGAGGAAGCUCCGGCUAACUACGUGCCAGCAGCCGCGGUAAUACGUAGGGAGCGAGCGUUGUCCGGAUUUACUGGGUGUAAAGGGUGCGUAGGCGGCUCUUUAAGUCGGGCGUGAAAGCUGUGGGCUUAACCCACAAAUUGCGUUCGAAACUGGAGGGCUUGAGUGAAGUAGAGGUAGGUGGAAUUCCCGGUGUAGCGGUGAAAUGCGUAGAGAUCGGGAGGAACACCAGUGGCGAAGGCGGCCUACUGGGCUUUAACUGACGCUGAAGCACGAAAGCAUGGGUAGCAAACAGGAUUAGAUACCCUGGUAGUCCAUGCUGUAAACGAUGAUUACUAGGUGUGGGGGGUCUGACCCCUUCCGUGCCGGAGUUAACACAAUAAGUAAUCCACCUGGGGAGUACGACCGCAAGGUUGAAACUCAAAGGAAUUGACGGGGGCCCGCACAGCGUGGAGUAUGUGGUUUAAUUCGAAGAACGCGAAGAACCUUACCAGGUCUUGACAUCCAACUAACGAAGCAGAGAUGCAUUAGGUGCUCGGGGAAAGUUGAGACAGGUGGUCCAUGGUUGUCGUCAGCUCGUGUCGUGAGAUGUUGGGUUAAGUCCCGCAACGAGCGCAACCCUUGUGAUUAGUUGUACGCAAGAGCACUCUAAUCAGACUGCCGUUGACAAAACGGAGGAAGGUGGGGACGACGUCAAAUCAUCAUGCCCCUUAUGACCUGGGCUACACACGUACUACAAUGGUCGCCAACGAGGGAAGCCAAGCCGCGAGGUGGAGCAACCCCCAAAAGCGGUCUCAGUUCGGAUUGCAGGCUGCAACCCGCCUACAUGAAGUUGGAAUUGCUAGUAAUCGCGGAUCAGCAUGCCGCGGUGAAUACGUUGGGCUUGUACACACCGCCCGUCACACCAUGGGAGCCGGUAAUACCCGAAGCCAAUAGUCUAACCGCAAGGAGGACGUUGUCGAAGGUAGGAUUGGCGACGGGGAAGUCGUAACAAGGUAACC
This 1368-nucleotide ribosomal RNA is filed under the name uncultured prokaryote. Its description in RNAcentral is "bacterial SSU rRNA". It matches the Rfam family "Bacterial small subunit ribosomal RNA". The record is from RNAcentral.